UUCGCCAGGAAUGUGAUCUGAGCAGAUUUACACCUUUCACAAGACACCCUCUAGUGCAGAAGGCUCCCUUCCCAUUGUUUCGCAGCCUGGCGGCUUCUCCAACCCUCCCUGGGAAGCCCUGCCCUGCAUUGCACCCUCACCCGCUGACCAGAGCCUCACCUGUCCUUCUGUGGCCCUUUAAUUGUGCAACCUUCCAUUUUACAGACCAAUCAAAGGCAUGUGAUUAGGCUCGUAAAGCAAAGCCGUGAGGCCUCCUCCGUUUCCUCCAUUCCCUCAUGGGGAGUGCUCCGUUUGUUGAAGAAACCAAAAGCAGAGCACGGACAGUCUCGAAGGAAUCUGGCUGGAACUUCGAACUUUACCUGGAGGAUGCUGUGUGUUGAAGCUUCGUGAGGAAGUGGGGAGUGUGGAAACAUGAGCUCCGGUGUGGCUGUCUCUAAUGGCGUCAAGGGUUUCCUGAUAUGCAGGUGCACAAGCCAUCACUGCCAGUGGAGGUGAAGAAGCACGAGAAGGUGGUGCUCUAAGACCUACAGGAGGACAAGAAGGUCCUCUGGGAGAAGGGCCAGGAGGUCCUGGUAAGUGACGUGGGCCAGGCUGGUGACAACCCCUGUGCCACCAUUGUCAAGACACUGGUGGCCAAGGACUGCCGCAGCAUCCUGUAUGAUGCAAAC
Molecule: long non-coding RNA, 668 nt
Filed under: Ursus maritimus (polar bear)
Lineage: Eukaryota; Metazoa; Chordata; Mammalia; Carnivora; Ursidae
Description: lncRNA (ENSUMAG00000004117.1)
Source: RNAcentral